Cajanus cajan (pigeon pea) is the source of this 2876-nucleotide non-coding RNA. The record is from RefSeq and is a predicted model, not a curated record. NCBI's taxonomy places the organism in Eukaryota, Viridiplantae, Streptophyta, Magnoliopsida, Fabales, Fabaceae.
UCCCAAAGCGCCAUGAUUCUAUAGAGGAAUCAUCAAGAGGUUUCUAUCUCGCUUAUUGCUGGCACACUUGCUUGUGGAGGUUCUUUUCAAGUAAGAGGGACUACGUUGUCUCACUCAUAAACAUAGCACAAAUUGUAGGUGAAGGAGCAACAAUUCUUUGAUCACCAAGCACAAAAAACAUGGUGCCACUACUCAAUCCACACAAGCUACAUUGGAGUGGAGUUUGGGGCUAACCACAGAGGACAAGAGUAGUUUUGUGAGACGACUCAAAACAUUAUUUUUCAAGUUAUUCACAAGUUAGGUACUAGUGUAUAUAUAACUCUUCCCUUCCGAGGUAAAGUAUGAAGAUAGUCUAAUGGAAUUAUCAUUAGGCAUUACAUGUGGAUCACUCAACACACCCAAAAUGCACAACUCUCUUGUUCGGUGGAAAGCUGCGGAACCAAGGUACUCAGAAGUCAGCACGUACACAACAAAUAUCAAAUGUACGAGAUUAUCAUAGUGAGAUAAACCAUAAAAAAUUGUAAAGUAUAUAGGAAGCUUGUUUGAGAUGACGGACGGAGAUAAAGGAAGCUUGUUUAGGUUUAGGAAAGAUGAAAAUUGAAUUUUGGUGAUGGGAGCUUAGGUUGCAAUUGGAGAGAGAUUUUCAAUCAGAUGCAUGGUUGGAAUUUAAAUGAAAGAGUUUAUUUACUACAAGAGUGUGAAAUGAAAGGGUAAUUUUUUUUUUUUACAGUGUUAGUUUUGUAAAAGAAUAACUGUAACAAGAGAUGUUAUAAUUUUGACCUAGUCUUAUGUCUCCUCUAUAUAUAUAUAUAUAUCUUAGUUAUGUACGAUGCAUUAUCAAAUGCCCUAAAAUGAAAACGGCGCCUUGUGGGAACUGAUGAUUGAAGUUCUGUUGAGGUUGGUUGCAGGUGGAGUCUGUUGUUCGUUUCUUAUGUGUGUGAAAGUUAUGGUUUUCUCUCAUAUCUGAUGGAAGGGCUUGUUCUUGAUAUCCCCUUCUGUUCCUGAAUUCAGAUCCAUAGACUUUAACUUUCUGCCUCCAAAUCUCAUGAUUUUCGUAUCCUAGUUUUUUAUUUUUUUAUUUUUAACUUUUGUCCUGUUUUGAAGUUUUUAUCUGUGGAAUCCAUUCACAAGUGAGGGUACCUUGAAAAUUGCUUAAUCUAUGGGGUUAUGGGCUGUGGGGGAGAACAUGAACAACCAUUUUGUAGAAAUAUGAGAGAAAGCCAUGACUUACUCACACAUUUUGAAACAAAGUGGUUAGAUUGUUGGAACAGAUCGCAGAUCUGGAUUUACAAGGGACAACUGCUAGAUCAUGGAUCCUAUUUUAAUGGUCCAUAUAGAUCUGAGGGGGCUGUGUACAAAGUUUCUGUUUUCACUCUCUUGUCCAUAAGGUUUUGAUAUUAUUUUUGAUACUUUUGCUAUUUUCUUGUUGCUCAUCUUAUAUUAAGAAUAAUGAUUUUUUUUUUGUCUUGAUAUAAAGCAAUCAAAAGUAACAGACAGAAUGAUAAAAUUGGUGUUUUAUCAUUAUAUCAUGUUUUAUGAUUAUUCCAUGUAACUGUGUCGGAUUUAGAUUCUCUAAUUUUGAUAUAUAAAAGUUAUACUAACUUAAUGCAUUUAAAUCGUUAGAUUUUUAAUAAUAAAUUAGAUUAUGACACGUGUGUAAUAUAUAUUUUGACUUAAAUGUAUAUAUGUCACAAUCUGAUUUAUUAUUAUUAAUCUAACGAUUUAAAUAUAAUAAGUUACCAUAAUUUUCCUUUCAUAAAGUUAGAGGAUCUAUUUCUGACCGUGUUGUUGUUAGCAAUUUAUAUCUCCCCUUUUUAACUAUUUUUUAUUUUUAUUUUUAUUUUUUUAAAAUUUUUAAUUAAUUUAUUUUUUUUACCUUAGCCUUAAUAGUGAUUUUGUUGCAUUGCUUGAUGUGAAUCCGAAUUUUAAAUUGGCACAAUCAGCUGAUACCUGAUAACACCAUUGAUAUGAAUCAGAUACAAUUGCGAGUUAACUAACAGUUUAUGAUCCCAAGUAGAUAAAAGGGUUAACUCUAUUACAAGCUUUUUUACUAGAUAAACUUAUUUAAACUCUUAAAGGCUCUGGAGUCAAGAAACAAGUAAGGAAGUUUGAAAUCAAAUGUAAUUUUUACUUCAUUGACUCCAUAAUGUAAAUGUUUUAUCAUGACUCAAAUGAUUUAAAAAAUAAUUUCUUUUUGAAAUAUUUUCAUUUUAGGAAUUAUGUUUUUAUGAAAUUAUAUAAUUUAUUAAUUUGAUCAUUUAUGUAGCUUAAUCCUAUUUAGUAUUAAUGUACUAUACACUUUAUUAUUGUAUUUUAAUACUUUGCCUCUCUGCCCUACGAUUUUUGAAUCCUAGGUUUGUGUAUAAGGUUUUACUUUUAUCUUGUCAUUGAAGUUUCUACCUGUGAAAUCCAUUCACAAGUGAGGGUACCUUGAGAAUUGUUCAAUCUAUGGGCUAUGGGGGAUAACAAGAACAACCAUUUUGUAUAAAAUAUAAGAGAAAGCCAUGACUUACAUACACAUUUGAAGCAAAGUGUGUGUGGAAUUUUGGACUAAGACUAUUGUCGUGUGUAAAUAUAAUCUGCAAAAGUGAUGAUACUGUUGGAACAGAUUGCAGAUCUGGAUUCUAAUGGUCCAUAUAGAUCUGCCGUGGCUGUUUACAAAGUCUCUGUUUUCACUCCCUUGUGAUAGCGAGCAAGCUCAAGAAGAAGGUCCUAUAGGUUGUGAAAUAUUUUCUUAUACUUCUACUAUUUUCUUGUUGCUCCUCUUAUAUUAUAUUAUUAAUGAAUUAUUCUGUCCUGGUAUAUUAAACCAGAAUGAUGAAAUUGCUGUUUCAUCAUUAUAUUAUGAUUUAUGAUUAUUCCAUGGUUUAUUGUUU